CUACGGAGGGUGCAAGCGUUAAUCGGAAUUACUGGGCGUAAAGCGUACGUAGGCGGUUCGUUAAGUUAGAUGUGAAAGCCCCGGGCUUAACCUGGGAACUGCAUUCAAAACUGGCGAACUAGAGUUGAGUAGAGGGGAGUGGAAUUUCAGGUGUAGCGGUGAAAUGCGUAGAGAUCUGAAGGAACACCAGUGGCGAAGGCGACUCCCUGGACUCGAACUGACGCUGAGGUACGAAAGCGUGGGUAGCAAACGGGAUUAGAAACCCUAGUAGUCC
RNAcentral lists this ribosomal RNA (274 nucleotides) under uncultured bacterium. Its description in RNAcentral is "partial 16S ribosomal RNA". It matches the Rfam family "Bacterial small subunit ribosomal RNA", at positions 523 to 796 of the family's 1533-position model. The record is from RNAcentral.